RNAcentral lists this ribosomal RNA (486 nucleotides) under uncultured bacterium. RNAcentral's name for it is "partial 16S ribosomal RNA". It matches the Rfam family "Bacterial small subunit ribosomal RNA", at positions 30 to 507 of the family's 1533-position model. The record is from RNAcentral.
AUUGAACGCUGGCGGCAUGCCUUACACAUGCAAGUCGAACGGCAGCACGGAUGCUUGCACCUGGUGGCGAGUGGCGAACGGGUGAGUAAUACAUCGGAACAUGUCCUGUAGUGGGGGAUAGCCCGGCGAAAGCCGGAUUAAUACCGCAUACGAUCUACGGAUGAAAGCGGGGGACCUUCGGGCCUCGCGCUUUAGGGUUGGCCGAUGGCUGAUUAGCUAGUUGGUGGGGUAAAGGCCUACCAAGGCGACGAUCAGUAGCUGGUCUGAGAGGACGACCAGCCACACUGGGACUGAGACACGGCCCAGACUCCUACGGGAGGCAGCAGUGGGGAAUUUUGGGCAAUGGGCGAAAGCCUGAUCCAGCAAUGCCGCGUGUGUGAAGAAGGCCUUCGGGUUGUAAAGCACUUUUGUCCGGAAAGAAAUCCUUGGCCCUAAUACGGUCGGGGGAUGACGGUACCGGAAGAAUAAGCACCGGCUAACUACGUG